GACGAACGCUGGCGGCGUGCCUAAUACAUGCAAGUUGAGCGCUGAAGGUUGGUACUUGUACCAACUGGAUGAGCAGCGAACGGGUGAGUAACGCGUGGGGAAUCUGCCUUUGAGCGGGGGACAACAUUUGGAAACGAAUGCUAAUACCGCAUAAAAACUUUAAACACAAGUUUUAAGUUUGAAAGAUGCAAUUGCAUCACUCAAAGAUGAUCCCGCGUUGUAUUAGCUAGUUGGUGAGGUAAAGGCUCACCAAGGCGAUGAUACAUAGCCGACCUGAGAGGGUGAUCGACCACAUUGGGACUGAGACACGGCCCAAACUCCUACGGGAGGCAGCAGUAGGGAAUCUUCGGCAAUGGACGAAAGUCUGACCGAGCAACGCCGCGUGAGUGAAGAAGGUUUUCGGAUCGUAAAACUCUGUUGGUAGAGAAGAACGUUGGUGAGAGUGGAAAGCUCAUCAAGUGACGGUAACUACCCAGAAAGGGACGGCUAACUACGU
RNAcentral lists this ribosomal RNA (496 nucleotides) under uncultured bacterium. RNAcentral describes it as "partial 16S ribosomal RNA". It matches the Rfam family "Bacterial small subunit ribosomal RNA", at positions 28 to 506 of the family's 1533-position model. The record is from RNAcentral.